GUACAUCCAACAUUAUUUCAUAUUCAAAUCAAGAAAACUCCAUAUCAAAUUCAAAUCAUCCAUCGCAUCACAUCAGGUUUACAUAACAAAUCAUCUCAGGAAUACAUUUCCUUACACAGGAAUAUAGAAGGAACAGAGGGAAUAUGCAAUAAGACAAUUAUGGCACAUCCUACAACUUGCCAUCCUACAACAAGAAUUAUAUAACAGGAAGAACUUGCUCUCUCUCGUGAGACUUGCUCCAGCUGCGACAACUUGCCAUCCUACAACAAGAAGUAUAUAACAAUGAACUUCAAGAACAUUACAGGAGCUAAACGCCCAAUCAACGUGAAGUGCUAAAAAAUGCCUUAGCUAGCAUGCAUUCAAAAUUUAGACACUUGACAUAGCCUCAUCAAGCAUGCAAUAAAUUAUAGAAAGUAAACGAGGACCAGACUUUACAAUUACAGACACAUCCAUCAAUCCAUGAGGCAAAAUCAUGUGAAUCCAAAAGGAGAGGCAGGAAGGGAUACCAAUUUUGAUCCAGAGGGUACAUGAGUGUGGCCUUCUUCCGGAAGAGGUUGGCCCUAACGCACCUUGUAUGAGGCGCUGGGAGCUCAUAGAUUGUCCUGGUCAAUGAGCAGGUCCUUGCAUCCGGUCAUACUGCUAGC
This 644-nucleotide long non-coding RNA is filed under the name Triticum aestivum (bread wheat). RNAcentral's name for it is "long non-coding RNA (TAES_LNC019912)". The record is from RNAcentral. Lineage: Eukaryota; Viridiplantae; Streptophyta; Magnoliopsida; Poales; Poaceae.